Molecule: unclassified non-coding RNA, 117 nt
Organism: Callithrix jacchus (white-tufted-ear marmoset)
Lineage: Eukaryota; Metazoa; Chordata; Mammalia; Primates; Cebidae
Rfam family: Metazoan signal recognition particle RNA
About the family: The signal recognition particle (SRP) is a universally conserved ribonucleoprotein.
Source: Ensembl
GCCGGGUGUGGUGGCUCACACCUGUAAUCCCAGCACUCUGGGAGGCUGAGGCCGGCGGAUCACCUGAGGUCAGGAGUUCAAGACCAGCCUGACCAACAUGGUGAAACCCUGUCUUUA